GCACGCGCAAGUCUAGUCCGGUCCGUUGCUUUCACCCGGCCGCUUUUGGGCGCCUGUGCGGGGAAGGCUGAGCCACCUGCAACUGGUCCGCCCUGACCUGGCAUCCGAGCUGUACGUGUAAAGUCGCCUGUGUGGGCUGCUGCUGCAGGACCCCCGGCUGGGUCUACACCGGCGUCCUUGUGAAGUUUGCUGGAUGAGAUUCAGGAGAGCAGGAAAAUGUGUAAAGGACCCAUACGGUGGAAGGAGAGAAGCAACUCCUCUGACCUCCCAGUGCGCAGCACCUGCACAUCGGUGCACACACAAUGUAAAAUUAAAAACAAAACUUCUGGGUCUGUCUGUGAGAGUCUAGACAGGUUUGACUGAGGAAGAAAGACUUGCCAUUAAUGUGUUGGACGCCACGCUAGAGGCUAGGGUCUCAGACUGAUUAAAAGAAGAAAGUAAAUCAUCUCGUUCUGCUUCCUGGUGGCAGAUGGCAAUGGGAUCAGCUGCCUGGCACUCUCGUGGCUAUGACAUCCCCACCAUGAUGAGCUGUUCCCUUCCUUAAGAUGCUUCUGUCAGGUUUGUAGACAGCAACAAGCACAGUAACUAUUACCGGCUCAGUGGCCCAGGCGUUGAAAUCGCAGGUGGGAGCCACCCCUAUCCGUUGGUAUUGUGAGCACUGAGGCACCAGUGUGUGGCAUGGAUGAUGGCGGUGCCGCAGGAAACAGGUGAAGACGAUGUCAGGUGCCAGAGGGCUUUGGAACCCCUCACACUGUCACGGUCCCCCUGCCUGUGCGCAUGGGCAUGCUAUUCCUAGAGUGUCUACCUAAGAGCUAGUCACAGCUACCCAGUGCAUCUGCCUUGCAGGCGGAAGGCACAAAGAUAAUGCAGGCUUCUUGCUCAGCUUUUGUCCCUUCAAAUUCAGAAGAAGACGAGGAGGAAGAGCAGAAGUCAUCCAAGGAUCUCCAGUCACAGCCCAAAGUGUGUAGUCACCUUCAUUUCUAGGAACAGCAGACCCUUGAAGACAGACCACCCCGUGAGGAGUCGUCUCAUGGGACAGUAAGGAUUUCUUCAGGCCACCCUGAAAACCAGAGCAGAGACGACGAGAAACCAAGCCACGCCCUGACCAGUAGCACUGAGUUAUUGUUUGUAUUGGCUAAACUGUUUACGAUCCUGCAGAUGGAACCAGGGUCUUGUGUACGCCAGGCAGGUGUCCUACCACUGAACCACACUGCCAGCUUGAGUGUGAUUUUUGAGCAUAGCCCUUGCAUUCAGGCAUGGUGGCUUAGGCCUGUAAAGCCAACACUGUCAGGAUGGAGUCACCGGGAUCAGGAGUUCAAGAUCAUCAGCUAGACAGUUGUUUGAAGCCAGCCUGGACUAGAUGAGAUACUGUCUCAAAGCUAAUGGGGUCAGAGCUGUGGGUCCAUUGGGAGAGAGCUUGCUGAGCACACUUCGAGCCCUAGGUUUUGCUCUGCCUGCUCCAGUAUCCUUGGGAGCUGUGGGAAAGUCCUGAGUAAGCCCAUGGGAAAGAGCACACCAUCUACUAAGACACAGGCUGGUGAAUGCCAGCCAAAGGCACAUCCAGACAGAAACAAACUGCUUGCUGCUAGCAGGACUCACAUGAUAGAGAACAAAUCUGCUUGCACUUUCUCCCCAGAACAGUGCAGAGAGGUGGUUAACUGUACCGCGCUUUGCUCUGCCCUCUGCUCUUCAUCUGUAGAAAAGCAGGUUCUGAAAUAAACGCUGGGCUGUUAAGUAUUGGCCAACAGACCUCCCGGAUCUA
Non-coding RNA from Myodes glareolus (Bank vole), 1762 nucleotides. NCBI's taxonomy places the organism in Eukaryota, Metazoa, Chordata, Mammalia, Rodentia, Cricetidae. The record is from RefSeq and is a predicted model, not a curated record.